Molecule: long non-coding RNA, 1329 nt
Filed under: Marmota monax (woodchuck)
Lineage: Eukaryota; Metazoa; Chordata; Mammalia; Rodentia; Sciuridae
Source: RNAcentral
GGGGCACUUGACCACUGAGCCACAUCCACAGCCCUCUUGUAUUUUAUUUGGAGACAGCGUCUUACUGAGUUGCUUAGUGCCUUGCUGUUGCUGAGGCUGGCUUUGAACUCAGGAUCCUCCUGUCUCAACCUCCCUAGCUGCUGGGAUUACAGGCAUGGACCACCACACCCUGCUCAUUCUCUCUUUAAUCACAAGUCAGAGGACUUGGGCAGGUCACCUUGGGGAGCAAAGUCAAAGUGGCCACCUUCUGGGGAAUGCAUGAGAGAAAACAAGAGGUGGUUUGGGGUUGUCUCCAGACCCCUGGGGCACGGUCCUCCUCCCUCCUUCCUUCUCACUGAGCAUUGAGAAUGCUGGGUGCUAUAGAUACAGCGCUGGAUGGGAUAGAUGCUCAUAGCUCUGUGCCAAAGCCAGAACAGGACAGUAGCUACUGGCUGUUGUCAUCAGAGCUCACCAUUGUUGGGUGCUGGUGAUGAGCCUCAGUUCUGAGCAUGAUUUGUGUUAAUAGUUAAUCCUGACCACAACCUAGGGAGAAAGAUGACUUGGUACAUCCUUAGAAUGGUCCUGGCCAACUAGCUGUGCUUCUCCCCCUAGUACAUGCAGGUUAGCAUGGGCAGGGAUUGGUCAGAUGGAUGCAUCAGGGCAGGUGGACUUGGUGUCUGGUGCAGGAGUAUGGAUACAGAAGGGGAGGGAGAACUGGAAGGAAUUACAGGCUAUGAUCUCUCCGAUGACAGUUGGGGUUGCUGGGUAGAUAGUGUGGUAUGUCCAGGGAUGCUUCAGACCUGACAAGUUAGGGCUUCUUAUGAUUUUAAGAGGCUUCUUAUGAUUGGAAGAGGAAGGCAGCCAUGCCCCAUGGGUAUAGAUGGGUCAUGGAAGGAAGCACAGUGGAUCCGUGUUGCACUUGGUGUGAACUUGAUGCUGAAGUAAAACAUGCAUCAGUUCUGACCCUAUCUUGCUGAGGUGUACACGGAGAAGAGCUGGAAACACUCAGAGCUCUGGUGGCCAUGUGGGAUGGUAGAGGCCAGCUAUCAUGUCAGAAGAGCUCAAGGUUUUUGAAGUACAGUAGCAAGUCAAGAAUAUGUCAUAAGAAAUGUUAAAGUCAAACUGAAGAAAGUCCUCUGAAGUCUGGAGGAUUAAGGCCAGGAACCCAAUCAGAUGUUGGUUUUCUCUGGAGAAGCCGUAGAAAUGCUUAUAAUGGUGAGCCUGGGUCAAAGCUGUUGGUAGAUCUGGGGACAGGUGGGAAUGGGGAAUGCUGACCACCAGGGCUGAGGGAAGACACAAGUUUCCAGGGAGAACUGAGUUCUGGGUAGAUGUAUUCCAAUGCAGGGCAGC